This is a non-coding RNA of Phascolarctos cinereus (koala), 3268 nucleotides long. The record is from RefSeq and is a predicted model, not a curated record. Lineage: Eukaryota; Metazoa; Chordata; Mammalia; Diprotodontia; Phascolarctidae.
GUCUCGCGAGAGUUGAGGGCCAGGCCCGCUGCCUUCAAAUUGCAGAGACGGUUGGAAGGAGACCGCGAUCCCGCCCAACGGCCGCUUUUACCCCGAGAGCACAGAGGGCAUGGCCGCCGUACUUUUUACCCUUUGUCUUUUGAGCUUCGUCACAGCGCUGCCACCUACAGAUGGGACCUUGCUGGAUGGUUGCUUUUGAUGUUGUCUCUUCUUGGAGCAUUUAUGUACUAAAGCUUCAAAGUACAGGAUACAAUGUCCAAUUUAGAACUCUCCUGGCCAUUUGUUUUUCUACCCUGCACUGCCACCAAGAAGAGGUUCCUAACUCUGGGCAUCUACAGUCAUAAACAUAGGAUUACAUUGUUCCACUUGAACAACUGGUGAGUAGAUCAUGGAUGUGUUUCCUUUUGUCGACCUGGCUCAUGGUUGUAGGACCUGGUUGUAGGGCUACUCUCAUCCUCCUUUCUCCAGUGAAGCAUACUUGCCUCAGCAGAGAGCGCAAAAUCUCUUCCUUCUUUAGAACUUGUAACAGUAGAGAAAGAACUUUAAGGCUGUCUGCCUCCAUGACCCGCCUUUAAAGGUGAUUGAGUUUGUCCUCUAGUAGAUCUGGCUGCUUGUGAGAAGUAGGGAUUUGGCCCUCCUGGGUAGCUAUUUUUCCCCCUUCCUUCUCAACUAUCCCCUUUAUAAAAUAAUUUCUGUGCUAGAGCCCACAAUGCUAAUUUUAUAUCAAUUAAGAAAGACUUAAGUUUUAUUUGCUGUGGAUUCCUUGGGCUUCAGUAAGGACCUGAAGAUGUGCUCAGUAAAGUCAGAGAACCAUUUCCCUACUGUCCUGCAGUGGAUGAGAAUUUGAGGUACCCUUUAUCUCUGGGUGCCAGUCUUUUCUCCUAUCCUUUCAUAGAACCCCAGAGAUUAAACUACCAUUGUGGGGUACAUGUGUCCAUGUGUGGUAGAAACUUCAGUAUGGGAAGUCAGUAUUUGGAUAUGAAUGAAAUGGCAAAGGUAUCUUUUAAUCCAGGAAACAUCACCUCUCUAGUUCUCAUUUAUAUAAUAGGUGGAUUUGAAUAAGCCUCGCUUCCUAAUAGAGUUCCUCAAGAAUAAGAGAAUUUCACUAUUGCACAAGCAGAGUGUCAAACAUGUGGCUACCUCUUUGUACCCCCCUCCCCCAGUAAUAUAAAUACAGGAAAAACUUAUUCCUUGCAGUCUCACUGUUCUUCUUGCCCCCACCCAACUAUAUCCCUACAACAGCUAUCCUCCUAAAGCUUAGCUCUGAGUGCCACCCCUCUUCCAUGGCCCUUCUCUAGCACUGGCCAGUCAUUCCACAUGCCAGAAGCUGGCCCAUUCCUCUCCUGACUUAUGCUUCCUGACCCUCCCUUGGCCAUCAUUCUUUUGUGGUUGGCUUUAUUAUCCCCUCAUCUAGAUCUUAGAAGUUGUUGUCAUCUCCUGAUUGACACCCAGGUUGCUCUCCUUCUUCAAAAGUUCAGCACUGAUUUCACAUCUUCCCUGAUGCUCAGGGACUUCAGUGUCACAAGGAUCUUCCUUAGGACACCUUGACCUAGGUUUCUCCACCUCAGACAGUAUGGACCCUGGAGAUAAUUAGACUAAUAAGGCAUUGUCCUCCCCCUCGAAUGCCUUCCUGCCCCCCACUCAUCUUGUCAUUCAUAGCCUGCUAGUAUUUAAUCCCGAGUCCCCCUUCCCACCCCCAGUGGUUAUCAUGUAUCUCCUUUUCCUUUCACUACCAAACUUCUAGAAAAGACUAUACUUGCUGCUUCCACUGCCUCAUUAUCCACUCUUCAACACCUUGCAAUCUGGCUUCUGACCCUACCAUUUCACUGAAAGUCUCUUGAAGGUUCCCAGUGAUCUCUCAUCACAUGUCCUCAGUGGUCCUCCUUCCAUGCCAAAUUCUGACAGCAGCCCUCCCUGCCCCCACUGCAUCUCACCUCCCUUGGGUUCUCGUGACUGCUAUUUCCUGGACUGCUUGCUAAUAAGAUUUUUAUAAAGCAUAUUAAGGUUUUCAAGUGCAUUAUUAUUUCAAAUGAGCCUUAUGACAACUAGAUCAGGUACCAUUCUCAUUUUACAGGUUAGGACAUCAAGAGAGAGAGAUUAAGUCACUUGUCCAUAGUUGCACAGCUCGUGUCAGAUGGCCACUUAGGGCUUCCUCCCUCCCAGUCCAGGAUGCCAUCCUUUCCUACUUGUCUUACUGACUUUCAAGGCUCAGCUCCCAUAUACUUUUAGGAAAGCUUUCCCCCACCCCCAUUAAUAAUCUCUCCCUCCUCAAACAGAUCUCGGGCACUUUGAUCUCUCCUUUUGACUAAAUCUUGUAUUUUAUUUUUGGGGUCAUGUCUCUUGAGGAGAAUGGGAAUUCCUUAAGGACACGAUAUUCCUAGCUGUGCAUUGUUCACUGUUUUGAUCCCACUGUUCCUAGAUUUUUCUGGAACACAACCAUUCCUUUUCAAGGACCAGUUCAGCUUUCUCUAAUUCCUUCCUCAUUUGAAAGUGAACUCUCUUAAGUUUUCUUAGAAUGCUUUCCCUAGAUCUCUCCUUUGUUACGCUCUACCCAAAAUACCAUUUAUUUGUGUACAUGCCAUUAUCUACAUUAGAGUAGAACCUGUUGUGGGCAGGUGUUAUGUUGAAAUGAAAUACUCUGAUUUGCCUGACUGGUCUUUUCACUGUUCAUCAAACAGCCUGGCCUUUACUACCUUUGAAUUCAUGUUGACAAUGCCCUCUCUUCCAUUCCGUUUGCUAAAAUACUAACCUUCUCUUCAAGGCCUAGCUCAAAUGCUACCUCCUGCCUAGUGAUCUCUCUUAUCACACAAGUAAACAUGUAGCACCUUACAGCAUCUCAUGUCAUCUUAGGCACUGUUACCUUAGUUGGUUGUGUACCUGCCCUGAUUCCCAGCACGUACCUUAUAUUUCUCAUAAGUCCUGCCACAUAGUAGGUAUUCAAUAAAAUAUUUAAUUGGUUUUGAUUAAACCAAGCCCAUCUCAAGAAUAUGGGCGAAUCCCUUGAUGUCAAAGCCCAGUUUGCCCCUCCCACAUGCCAGCCUAAGUCCUACUUAUGGGGUUGAGCAAAAGGAAUGGGGGACUCAUCGGUUGAAGGCAGCCAAAGACGAGAAGAGAUGCUCAGACAGGUCUCCGCUCUCGGCCCGAGGUCUAGAAUUGGCCGACCAGCAUUUAUUUCCUCUCUAGAGGGGACAUUCCUGUGACCUUGUGUGUGGGCCACAGGGCACAAACUUGAAAGGGGUGGACACAUCCAUUCAGGACGAGACCUGAA